Doryrhamphus excisus (bluestripe pipefish) is the source of this 222-nucleotide non-coding RNA. NCBI's taxonomy places the organism in Eukaryota, Metazoa, Chordata, Actinopteri, Syngnathiformes, Syngnathidae. The record is from RefSeq and is a predicted model, not a curated record.
UCUGUGGUGUCUGAGAGGGAGCCUGAGAGGUCUACAGAGAGCAUGGCUGGGCAGCAGGAAGAGGGUCCCUCAACCUCCACAGCACAGAUUGACACACUACCACUAAAAGAAAUCUACAAAGUGCAUUUAUUAAAAACAGUACAAAAAACAGAAAAAGAAAUGGUGCUGCUGGACCGCCAGAUAACUAAAACGGAUCUGGAAAUUGAAUUAUUAAAACACAAG